RNAcentral lists this long non-coding RNA (7424 nucleotides) under Brassica napus (rape). Its description in RNAcentral is "long non-coding RNA (BNAP_LNC001141)". Lineage: Eukaryota; Viridiplantae; Streptophyta; Magnoliopsida; Brassicales; Brassicaceae. The record is from RNAcentral.
AACGCUUCUUCAUCUUCUCUUUACCCGACAAGCGUCUUGUGUUCCCAUUCUCACACGUGAACAGCGAUGCACAUAGCUCAAGCGGCUCCACCAGCUGCUUGUUCGCAGCUGUACGAAGAAAAAGGUCUAAGUUCUGUACAUAUUUGUCAUCUUUCGUCAUCAGCUUGUGUUUUUUCUCAGACAUUACCGCCACCGUAUCUCGUGACUCUUCCUCGUUAUCCGUCCAGUAACUUUUGUCUUCCAUAGCAAGAUCAUCGUACUCCUCAUCUGACUUUGUAGAUUCCUCAUCAACUGAUCCCACCUUUAGAAAACCACCCCAACACUCUUUUAAUUUUUUUUUUUUUUUUUGGUCAAAGCACUCUUUUAAUUUAUGAAACAAAAAGACCAUAUGAAAAUACUUUUACGGUUGUACCUCUUCAUGGUCUUGCUUGUUAUCAUCGUCGUCAUCGCUAAAAUCUGUAUCAUGCUCAUCAGGAGGAUCGUCCUCACCUUCUUCAUCGCUACCAUGCACGGACUGCUCCUCCUUAAGCUGAAGGAAGAAGAUUAACAUAUAAGAUACAAGAAAAACAAAAUAGAACUUCUAUAAAUUAAUAAAUUUUAUCAAAAUAUAAAACAAACCGAUAAAAUAAUAAAAUAAUAUUUUUUUUAGAAAAUCCUUGGUAAAUAUAUAGUCUCAUUAAAAUUAAUAAUUUAUUUAUAUUACAAUAUUAAUUUAUAGAGCUUUUCAUGUACCUCUUUGGAAGUUCCUUCAGACAUCCUAGGAGAACUGCAGCAAGAAGAGUAAUGCCUACUUCCAUUUUCCCCCAAGUCAGCUCUAGAAUCAUAAUCUACACUCCCAGCACGGCUCGUGGCUCCAUCACUAGGCCAAGCACUAAUCCCAAACAAACCAAACUGAAGAUUCACCGGUUCAGCUUUCUGCAAGUAUCCAUAAACCGGAUGCACCAUUCCAUUCCCCUCCAUCGUCUCAUCAACCUUACCACCAAGAGGCCAAGUCCUUGAGAAAGUUCCAUCGGUGUUGAGAAGAGCCAUUAGAUGCCUAGAAGAGCCUUGUCUUUGAAUCAGCUGAAACAUUCCUUUGGAACUCAACGAGUUAGCUGUACACUGGUUCCUGUACUCGUCGUCGAUCACAGAGACGGUAUUCGUGGUGGCAUCAUAGAGCUGCUCUCCUGCUUCACGCCUACGUAAGCAGGAGAAGACCGUGGCGUGGAUGGCAGCCACACUUUUGUCGACGUUGGUGUUGUUUAUCUUGGGGACGAGAUGUUUGUCAGCUCGUUUACAGAGGUAGUCCUGUAUUGUUCUGAUGUUGCGUAUGUAUUUGACGUACUUGUUUUUCUCUGGGUCUAGGGUCAUGUACUUGGCUCUGACUGCAAACCGUUCCAAGUGUUUCUCCUCGUUCGAGAUGUAAACCAUGAAAGGAACAAUCGACGGAUGCUUCUUCAUCAGUCCCAUCUGCAUGAGGAAGAUGGUUAUAACUAAACUCUCAAAAUAGAAAUGUGUCUAGUGUUACAUCUUGAAAUGUCUUAAAUCUCAGUGCACCAGUAAAAGCCCAACAUUCGUCGGGGCUGAUAUAAAUAAAGGUCUAAGUGAUUGUAAAGUGAUUCAUUAACAUAAUAAUAUACAAACUCUAAACGGAUAUUUGUCUUUGUUUUCUUCAAUUUUUGAUUCGUGUUUGUUCACAACAUCUAAAGAGUGGGGCUUACCACAAAGUUAAGGCUUAGAUGGACACCUUCAACAACCACAGACUCUUUCCUUUCUUCCCAAGCUGUAAUGAGCCUAUCGAGAUUCUCAAUCACCAUCUCACUUUGAGCUUUGAAUCCUUCUACAGCCAUCUGCUUGUGACUUAACAAAGCUGCAACAGUGGUAGUGGUGGUUGGUUUGUCAUCCUCAACUGUUGAUUUUCCAUAAUUUUUUUUGGCUCUUCUUCUUUUGGCUUUUGAUUCUGCGACUGCCACAGGGUCAAGGCACUCUCCCGCGUGGUAAGUUGAAGCCCACAGCAAAGGAUCUUGCUUCUCAUCAACGAAACUCCUCAUCAUGUGACGGAUUGAGUCGGUCGAGACUACUGUUGUAAUCCCCAGCCUGCUGCCCUGUAAACACAAAAUGCAACACUGUAAGUAAAAGAGCAAAGCUUCUUAUGUUUAUUUAAAGCUCAUCAGUGGUUGUAAUUAAGAAUACCAGAAGUGCGGAGAGUGUAGAUUUGCCACAGCCACUAGUGCCGCAUAGUAGAACAGUCACAGAUUCUUUUCUUUCUCGAAUCCUGCAGGAAACGAUAGGAACUAUUUAGAUGAUUUUCCACCACAUAUAUGUAUGUUUCUUGAGUUAAAGGUAAGAAGAGUUACUUGCAGGCCAGGAUCAAGUCUGCUCUUUGGUCAUGGCCGACGUACUUAUAUUCAGCGAGAGCGUGACAGACAACGUUAACGAAUAUUUCUCGUGGAACAACAACGGUUGUGCGCCUUUUAUGCAUCUCAAAGGGCUUACUUUUACUCUUGUCAACAUCAUCGGUAGUAGACGAAAAGCUAACCUUUUCUACACCAGCACAAGCUGAAGCAGCAUCACACGUCUUGUCAAAUACAGAUUCUUUCCCGUGCGUGGGAGAAAGUAUUAGGGUGCCUUCACUUCUUAUUAACUCAAAAACCCUCCGGCUAAUCUGACCACAAGCAACAAAAAAAAAAACAGAACUUGAGAUUACAAACACCAUAAAGCUUGAAACUUUAGUAUUUUACUUUUAGACAAAACACAAAAGGGUACCUUUACAAGGUAUCAAAGAGAGUCAUGAAAAAGACUUUGAGCACACACACACACACACACUAAUGAGUGCAACAAGAGAAUACAAUUAGACUACAUGACACAAGUUUGGUAAAAUAAUAAUAAUUCUGGAGCUGUGAGUGCAUUAACAUCAAUGAAAGAAUAGACAUUAGUAAUGCCAAACUACGAAAUUAAGACCAAAAAAAAACAUGCUUUGAUCUUUGUCUGAAUCUAGACACAUCACUAUAAGUUUAUAACAGAAUGCAAUUUAUAUGAAAUUAAAUCUCAAACCAUUACACGACAAAAACAGAAUCAGAAUCCGAGGAAAGCGAUGUUUUGUAGGAAACAAAUUACGGUUUAUGGGUUUUUGAUUUAGUUAUUUUGUUUCUUGAUAAGAAAGGUAAAGAUUUAUAUAUAUAUUCCAGGAACCGUAAGGUUUUAUCAAAUUUAAUGAGAAAAUUUCAAGCAACCUCGUAAAGUUGGAAGAUUUUGUAGUAUCUUUACACUUUUUGUUUGACGAAAUUUAAUGAUUUUGAGUAAAAAUGUAUAAGAAAAAGAAAAUUUGUUUUAUUUUGAACUUUACAGUGUUUUUACUUAUAAAUUCGUAAAAUACUAAAAUGAUAGAUGUUAAAAAAAAUUAAACACAUGUAAGUAUAAAUUAUUUUAAACAUAUUUAUUUUCUAUAAUAUAAAUAAAUUUAAAGAUGUAAUAUAUGAGAAAUGUAUAAAUUAAAGAAAAAACAUAUUUUGAAGGAGGUUCUCUAUUUAAUUAUGUCAUAUUGUUAUUUUAUUGUACUUAAUAUAAAAAUAUAUUAGUAAGUAAAAAAAUUGAUAAUCAAAGUAAAAUAUAUUAAGCAAAUCAUUAUAUAUAAUAAUUCCGAAUAAGAAAUAUAAACAACAAUAUUAUAGAGUUACACAAUACAUAACACUAAAAUGCAAAUUAUAUAAAUAAAACGUUUGUAAUAAUAUUAAAUACAGUUAUCAAAUUUAAAAAUAUACGAACGGACGUGCAAGUAGAAUUUCAAAAUAUGGAAAGGAAAAUUAUGCGAUCUACAAAAAAAAAAAAGUGAGUAAAAUUUUUUGGGCUUGGCAAGGCUAAAAAUAUAUAUUAUUAUUUAAUGGUAUUUUCUCUAAAAUCGCGGUAGAGAUGCAUAAGUUUACAGUUGGCGUUCCGCUGGCAAAUGACAAUAGCUAUAAAAAAAGCCUAAUGGUCCGUACACAUCAACGAUGGCAAAAAGCGUGAAAAUGUCAUUACCAAUUUAUAAAUAUGUCUCUUGAGCAUUCCAUGUGGUCGACUCAUUAUCUUAAAACAAGUUCCCACAAAAAUGCUCUAACGUUUCUGAACUUUAUAGAUCUUACAUAGGUUAUUUAGAAAAUUUCGCAAGAUAUUCGCAUAUUCUCAUGGCUCACUAAACGAAAUGAUAAGUUGAUUUUCUUUAACCUUCCCUAAUAUUGUAUCAUCUCAAUGCAUAACUUCUAUACUCGUCACAUUUUGUUUUGGAUAAUUAUGAUUUUAAGUUCUUGUAAUCUUAUAAACUUAAGAGGUUUUACAAGUGACCAUUUAACAAAUUAAGGUUUAAUAAUGUUUUUGUUUCCAAUGGUUUUAGUUUUAUUGUUUUCUCAUGUAGGGAAGGCAACUAUAAAAGUCCAAUGUUUAUAGGUUAUGAAAUUCAAAUCUUGUGGGGAAGUCAGACAAAAAAAACUCUUUCCUAACAUGAGUAAUGGCUCAUUGACUUCUUAUAUAUUUGUUCAAAAAAGUUAAUGUCCAUGGCUUAUCUUAUUGCAAUUUGGUAGACUUUCAAAGCAUCAUAUAUAUGUUAAAAUAAGAAUGCAAACAGCUUAGAUGGUAUAUUAAUUUCUUCUGCAUAUCAAGUUGGUUAAUUUCAUUUGGAUAUAACGGAUCAAAAAAUUAAAUAAUCUAUGUUAUUACUUACAUUUUUUGGGAACUCGGUUGUUAAAAAAUACUCUUUCUGUUCUUUAAAGAUCUAUUUUUUAGGAAAAAAAUUGUUUUUAAAAAGAUACAUUUUUUACAUUAAUUAAUGAAAAAUUAUAUUUUUCAAAAAAUACAAUUGUGUUUAAUAAAAUCUCAUUGGUUAAAAGUUAUUGAGAAUAGUUAAUUAAGAAAAAUAAUGUAUUGAAAAAUAUAAUUUUAAAUAUUUUCUUAAUAAGUGUGAAAAAACUAUAACAUGGAUCUUUUAGGAAAGUAGGGAGUAGAAAAUUGGAAUUAAACAAAGUUGGCAAUUUUAAGAAAUUGUUUAAGUUAGCAUAUACUAUAAGAAAAUAGCCUUUACUGUUCUGGUUUAGUUAAGAGAUAUAUAUAUAUAUAUAUAUAUACAAUGAAUUGAUACCUAAACCAGUUUGGGUUGGUUAUGUCUUUAAGUUGCUCAAAAUAAAUAACAUUGUAUAUCUUUUUAUUGUUAAGUUCUUUUUUUUAUUUUAACAAAAUAUUUAUUAUAAUUUUUGCCUUUUUCUAAUGGUUCAAGUUUAAUAUGCGAAUCAGACAAAUUGAAAGAUUCAGAUAUGAUUUUAGAUUGGCUUUUCAACAUAGUUUGGAUUGGGUAGAUACGGGCUUUUGGAGUGAACAAACACUAAUAUAGACUUCAAGUGGCUACAUUCAAAAGUAAACGGUGUGAAAUAGAUUAGAGUCAAAAGUUGUGGGUUAAAGAGAUAUGUACUUUUGAAUGACGGCAAUUUUCAGGUAAGAUGAACGUGGAGCUGGAGCUUGUUCACCAGAAAAGUGGUUGAUGCUUAACGUGCUCAUAUAAUGUUAUAAUUUUUUUUUGUUCUGAUAGGUGCUAACUAUUGACUUACGUAACAAUUAACAUACAUUAAUGAUAAUUCAAUUGACUUAUCUGUGAAUACUAUUUUAAAAACCGUACAGAUCACAGCAUUAGGUUCUGUCCGUAUGAUGCGGAAGUAGUACGGCCUUCUCUCUCUGACUGUAAUCCUCGUCACUCAAACAAUUGAACUUUUUACACGUCAUCUAGUUAUCUUACUCUCGUCCGGUAGACAAAAGUUCUUAUGAUGUUUGCAAUAUUUUUUACAAAACUAAUUAAAUUGCAUAUAUUUUCGUUAUGAUUAAUAGCUAACUUUACCAGAAUAAAACAAAAGCUGAACCCAAAAUCCUUCUAAUUUGAAUAACAAACAUCUAUCGUUGCAUAUAUUUUUGAAAUUAGUUUAACUUUCGGCAUAAGAUUUACAGUGGAAAAAAGAAAAGCAAGUAAUGACACCCAAAUUGUAUAUGGCUGCCUACAAGUUAAGCAAACUGUGAGGAAGAGACAGAAAUUUAGUUGGGGCUUGAUGAGCUCCCUUAAAGCACAAGAUGCUAUCAUGGAACAGAGAGAAGUGGCCUUAUUCGACUCGAUGACUUUUUUUUGCUCAAAUGAGUGUGUUAUUAUUGGUUUAUAUAUUUUGAUUGAUUUAGAAAUUCAUGUAGUAUUUAUAAAUCUAAGUAAAAUAUACAGAUUUUUAAAUUUUUUCGGAUUAGUAUUUACAAAUCCGAAGGUUUUCCUUCAGAUUUGAGUCUUUGUAUUUUUAACAAAAAAAUCCAAAAAAAUCUAUUCAAAAAUCCAUUAUUAAAUCAAAUUUAUUAAUAAAUCCGUACAAUUGAAUAACACUUGAUUUGAUAUAUAAUUUAUGAAUCAUUAAACCAAUAACACAUUAUUUUAAUACAGAUUUGAAAAUCAUAAAACUAAUAACACUAGAUUUAGUUCGGAUUUUCAAAUCCAUUAAAAUAUAACAACCAAUAAUCCCACUAAGAAUACUACUGAAACAGAAAAAGCUAAGAGCAUGUCCGAUGGAAAAUUUUCUUUUUGAAGUUCUAAACAUACAUAUAUGUAUGUCUAUAUGGAUAGUAGUAUUUAAUUGUGGAUAUUUUAAAGUUACGAAAACCCAACCGAAAGGUUCUGCUUUUAAAAAUUUUGGUUAAAUUUUCCGUAACUUCAAGAUUCCACAAUUAAAUAAUUUUAUUUAUAUAUACACACACAUCUUGUAUAUAUGUUGUUAGAACUCCCUAAUGGGAGUACUCUUAAGAUAUAAAACGAUGUUAAGUACAAAAUUACACAAACUACUUUUUGGAACCUACAGAAUACUUGCGCAUUCGGAACAAUAGCAAUAGAUAACACAUUAAAACACACUAACUACCCUCAAAUGUGUUUAUUUCUGGACCACUAUUUCCGACCGUGUCUUAAUUCUGCACUGUCGUCUGCAUAAACUGUCAAAAGUUAGAAUCUAAACUCUUUAAGUGACAAGAAUAAGAAAAAGCGUAUUUAGACAACCCAAAGUUUGAGACACGUUAAAACUAUACACACACACACAAAACUUAAACUACAGACUACACAGAACUCAGGAAUUUACUUGCAAAGGAUCAUGGGGCACCCAAAACAAUCGUAUCUCCCAAACCCGACCCGCGUUUUCCAAGAGCCGAGAUGCUAAGAGAACGCUUCUUCAUCUUCUCUUUACCCGACAAGCGUCUUGUGUUCCCAUUCUCACACGUGAACAGCGAUGCACAUAGCUCAAGCGGCUCCACCAGCUGCUUGUUCGCAGCUGUACGAAGAAAAAGGUCUAAGUUCUGUACAUAUUUGUCAUCUUUCGUCAUCAGCUUGUGUUUUUUCUCAGACAUUACCGCCACCGUAUCUCGUGACUCUUCCUCGUUAUCCGUCCAGUAACUUUUGUCUUCCAUAG